AGCUAACCGUUAAGACCUUGACAGUUGUGAACCAUCUCCUUCGGAGUUAGUGGCAGACGGGUGAGUAACGCGUGGGAACCUACCUUUAGGUACGGAACAACAGUUGGAAACGACUGCUAAUACCGUAUGUGCCCUAUGGGGGAAAGAUUUAUCGCCUAAGGAUGGGCCCGCGUUGGAUUAGUUAGUUGGUGGGGUAAAGGCCUACCAAGGGGACGAUCCAUAGGUGGUCUGAGAGGAUGAUCAGCCACACUGGGACUGAGACACGGCCCAGAUUCUUACGGGAGGCAGCAGUGGGGAAUAUUGGACAAUGGGGGCAACCCUGAUCCAGCCAUGCCGCGUGAGUGAUGAAGGCCCUAGGGUUGUAAAGCUCUUUCAGCGAGGAGGAUAAUGACGUUACUCGCAGAAGAAGCCCCGGCUAACUUCGUGCCAGCAGCCGCGGUAAUACGAAGGGGGCUAGCGUUGUUCGGAAUCACUGGGCGUAAAGCGCACGUAGGCGGACUUUUAAGUCAGGGGUGAAAUCCCGGGGCUCAACCCCGGAACUGCCUUUGAUACUGGAAGUCUUGAGUCCGAGAGAGGUGAGUGGAACUCCGAGUGUAGAGGUGAAAUUCGUAGAUAUUCGGAAGAACACCAGUGGCGAAGGCGGCUCACUGGCUCGGUACUGACGCUGAGGUGCGAAAGCGUGGGGAGCAAACAGGAUUAGAUACCCUGGUAGUCCACGCCGUAAACGAUGGAAGCUAGCCGUCAGGUAGCAUGCUAUUUGGUGGCGCAGCUAACGCAUUAAGCUUCCCGCCUGGGGAGUACGGUCGCAAGAUUAGAACUCACAGGAAUUGACGGGGGCUCGCACAAGCGGUGGAGCAUGUGGUUUAAUUCGAAGCAACGCGCAGAACCUUACCAGCCCUUGACAUUUGGUGCUACUUCCAGAGAUGGAAGGUUCCCUUCGGGUACGCCAGGGACAUGUGCUGCGUGGCUGUCGUCAGCUCGUGUCGUGAGAUGUUGGGUUAAGUCCCUUACUCCUCGCACGCGUCGAACCUUUGUUUCCUUCAGUUGCGAUUCAUUUAGUCUAGGCGCACUCUAGGCGGGUACUAGGCGGUGAUACCAGCCGAGAGGAUAAGGUGGGGAUCCGACGUCCCGUCCUCAAGAGUGGCCCUUAGGGGCGUGGGCUCCACACGGUGGUGGGAUUGGCGGUGACAAAAGUGGAGCAGAACGUAUACUCGCUGAGGGGGGGCUAAUCUCCCCACCACGCCGUCUCAGUUGAGGGGUUGUUCUCUGCGAACUCGAGAGCAUGAAGAUUCUUCGCCCCCGGGGAGAUCGCUAGUAAUGUGGGUAACAGCAUGACGCGGUGAAUACGUUCCCGGGCCUUGUACACACCGCCCGUCACACCAUGGGAGUUGGGUUUAUCCGAAGGCACUGCGCUCCGUACAUGGUUACCGCGUGAUCACCUUAGAGUU
Molecule: ribosomal RNA, 1448 nt
Filed under: Labrenzia sp.
Lineage: Bacteria; Pseudomonadati; Pseudomonadota; Alphaproteobacteria; Hyphomicrobiales; Stappiaceae
Description: bacterial SSU rRNA
Rfam family: Bacterial small subunit ribosomal RNA
Source: RNAcentral